Molecule: long non-coding RNA, 1477 nt
Organism: Ictalurus punctatus (channel catfish)
Lineage: Eukaryota; Metazoa; Chordata; Actinopteri; Siluriformes; Ictaluridae
Exons: 5
Source: RefSeq, a predicted model, not a curated record
CCUAUUGCACUAGACGGGAGAGUAGUGCGUAGUGUAAGUACAUAGUGUAAGUGUACAGUACUUCAUUUAGGACACUACUUUAAUAUUUACUCUCCGAAGCGUGUUUUCAGUACAGAAGUAAUGUAAUGAGUAAACGCACCGUGCAGAGCAACUAAUCGAAAAUGAGAUUCGUUUCCAACGAUUUUCAUAAUCGAUUAUUAUCGAUUAGUUGUUGCAGCUCUAAAUAUAAUAUAACAUUUGCAAUCACUGUGAUGGAGAAAAUAUGGAAUGCAAAGUGCAAUCUUUUUUAUUGAUCUAUUUAUUUAUAUCCCUAUUCCAUUCAUUUCUACUGUUUAGUCAUCUGGUGGGCGUGGCUGAGUGCGCAGGUGCGUCAUUCAAACCGAGCGAGAUGACUGUUGAGAAUCAGACAGCGCGAGACAGCUCCUUUCAGGUAAAUUGAGAUGUGUCGUUAUCUCUAGCAUCCCUGCUGGUGCCUCUACAAAUUACACCUGCAACAUGAGGGGUCGUCAUGUGAACAUCAUCAUUCCCAAUGUUAUCCAGGCUCUCACGCUCUGUGAAGUGGAAGUCUAUGGGGUUCCAGUGCCUGUUACUAAGAGGGCAUUUCUGAGAUUGAAGUUUAACAGCAGUGAGGAUCUUAUGAACCCUUCUGUGAGGGACAAAAUUCUUCAAAAGAUGAUAUCUGCCAAUGUCCAGCCUUCAGUGCGUCAGAUCUGUUGGACUAAGGAACCAGAGGUGGAAAAUUAAACUUAAAAAACGGUGGCAGAAAUAUAUCUGAAACAAGAAGAAGAAGAAGCGGAAGAAGAAGAAGUGUUCAAAGAACAAAAAGAAAAAAAACAUCAAAUGUGUGAGGUUUGGGUGUAGCACUUGAAAAUACUAGCUAACUGAUGUUAUAGGUUUAUUAAUUAGAAGUACUAGAAAUUUUUCAGUUUGCUUGUUUGGGAAAUGUAGCUAUGAAAAAUUAUUACCACAGGGUUUGUACAAGGUGCUUGAAUUUGGCAUUUGGAAAUUUAAGUACUGGAAAACCUUGAAAAUAGCCAUUUUUUAUGUAACAGUGGUUAAAAAGUGCUUGAAUGAUAAAAAGUCAAUAAAUAAAAAAUAACAAUUUUCAAAAGAACACGAAUACAAUCCUUUCACUCAAAAUAUGACUCCCCGCUGCAGCCCCUCCUCCUCCUGCCGUUCACUCAUUCAUUUUAACAGGGACAGCUUCGGUCCACUUCUCAGACCCCUUUAGCAACUUUUUUUUUAAUUUUUUUUAAAGCAUCUAGCAAUAUAUCUAUCGAUUUUUUGGACAAACCUUAGCUACUUUCCGUAGAAGAUAAUGGCCAGUACUGCCCGGCGAGUGCGAGGUCCUGCUUUCAGAAACAGAAAAAAUAUGUAAAUGAGAACAGCUUUAUUGGGAAUUCGGCUGUAUUAAAAUUCAGCAUGUGAGCACAGAGAGUAGGAUGUAAUAAAGGGCUGACACUAGGCAGAGUGAAAA